Molecule: ribosomal RNA, 194 nt
Filed under: uncultured bacterium
Lineage: Bacteria
Description: partial 16S ribosomal RNA
Rfam family: Bacterial small subunit ribosomal RNA
Source: RNAcentral
UGAAAUUCGCCUUCAUGAAGCCGGAAUUGCUAGUAAUGGCAGGUCAGCAUACUGCCGUGAAUACGUUCCCGGGCCUUGUACACACCGCCCGUCACACCAUGAGAGUUGGGAAUACCCGAAGCCUGUGAGCUAACGUUAAGAGGCAGCAGUCGAAGGUAGAAUCAAUGAUUGGGGUGAAGUCGUAACAAGGUACC